UCCACAAGGCCGAAAGUGCAUAGAAGUGUGCCAUUUUUGGACAGGGCCAAUGUUUUUCCGCAAGACGCAUACAGUUUAUCAACCGCUAGAGUACCAAACCUAAGGGACAGCAGCUUUAAACAGCGCACGGGCCACAUUAAAGUGAUUACUAGAAUUUGUUUGCGGGCCUGAUUAAAAGUCGUGGUGGGCCUUAUUUGGCCCAUGUGGGCUACACUGUGAAAUAUGGGCCUAUAUAAUUCGACCAGUCUAAAAUUAAUAAUUCACUGAAGAGAGAAGGAUUUACCACACAUCAUUUCGGAAAAGCGGAUAAUUCAGCGUACUUUAUUAUAUAUUGAAUUAUUACAAAGGCUAUUAUUUCACGAGCUUCGUUUUUAGCGUAGUGGUCGGCUGCUCAAGACUGCCACCUGCAGACUUUGAGUUUUUGUUAACAUUAAGAAGGAUAAUUUGUACUUUGACUUGUUCAUAUUGAUGCAACGUUAAGCCUACAUUUUUGAAAAUGUUUGGUUACAGGUCUGUUACAAUUUUCAUUGACCUAAAUUAAGUGUUCGAGUAAAAUUGACUAAAAUGAAUGAAUAUGCUAGACAAAAUAUCACGUGACGUUUUCUUGAGAGUAGAUGGAGAUCAUUUCCGGUCUGCGAAGUAACGGUAGAAAAUUCGGUACAAAACAUGGUUUUGGUAUCUAAUGGCUAUUCAAACGAGAUUUUUCUUAUAAUCUGGACAUUAACAAACCCUCAGUUUUUCCUGGACCUCCAUGAAGUUAAUUUGGUUUUUCUACAGUGGCUGCGCACUUCAGUCAUUCUGUAGCCGCUGUUGACAGUGAUGUUCUACACUCUGCUGUUAGAUGUUUUCCUCACUGAAGGCCAAGAGAAACUGGUUAAAGCAGAGCAGGACAUGGAGAGAAAGAAAGUCGACUUUAAAGCUGGCAGAGCGCUUUGGUGGAGAUUUGCCCUGCACCUGACACAUUAAUAAGGCUCCGGAAACACCUCCUCUUCCUCUGCACUUCCAUUUUCCAUGUCAAAUCCUAAUCAGACCGACUCAUGCGUGAGCCGCUAAUGACGCAACAAGUUCCGAAGGUAA
Molecule: long non-coding RNA, 1077 nt
Organism: Ctenopharyngodon idella (grass carp)
Lineage: Eukaryota; Metazoa; Chordata; Actinopteri; Cypriniformes; Xenocyprididae
Exons: 4
Source: RefSeq, a predicted model, not a curated record